GAUGAACGUUUCAACUCUGCCUCGUCACGUUUUCCCUCCAAUUUCAAAUGGCUGAUUAGAGCUAUUCCCUGUGUUCUACUCUAAUUGUGAAAACGUUUUGCUCAAACUAUUUCUCAAGACAAGGUUCUGCAAUGCAAAGUGAACUGAAGUGGAGAAAGACAAUGUGUGUUUGGAAAACUUUAAGCCAAGCUUUGUGAAAUGCUUGGUAGACAUGCAUAAACUGAAGAGGCACACCCCAUUGGCUCAUUGCCAACAUCAAUAAUAACCCAGCUUUCUUCAACAGCUUCCAUCAAAUUCAUGAAGAAUACCAAAGAGCUGAAAAGUACAGCUUAUUUUUACAGAACCUCCUUCCAUUUCCGUGGAGAAGUCAUCUUCAAUAUUCCUGUCAUGAAAACGUCAAGUGUACUCCAACAACUGGAACAAGUGGCCCUAUCAUCAUCUACUAG
Daphnia carinata is the source of this 446-nucleotide long non-coding RNA. RefSeq lists it as uncharacterized. The record is from RefSeq and is a predicted model, not a curated record. The transcript has 2 exons. Lineage: Eukaryota; Metazoa; Arthropoda; Branchiopoda; Diplostraca; Daphniidae.